This 304-nucleotide ribosomal RNA is filed under the name uncultured bacterium. RNAcentral describes it as "partial 16S ribosomal RNA". It matches the Rfam family "Bacterial small subunit ribosomal RNA", at positions 509 to 807 of the family's 1533-position model. The record is from RNAcentral.
CAGCAGUCGCCGCGGUAAUACGUAGGUGGCAAGCGUUGUCCGGAAUUAUUGGGCGUAAAGGGCUCGCAGGCGGUUUCUUAAGUCUGAUGUGAAAGCCCCCGGCUCAACCGGGGAGGGUCAUUGGAAACUGGGAAACUUGAGUGCAGAAGAGGAGAGUGGAAUCCCACGUGUAGCGGUGAAAUGCGUAGAGAUGUGGAGGAACACCAGUGGCGAAGGCGACUCUCUGGUCUGUAACUGACGCUGAGGAGCGAAAGCGUGGGGAGCGAACAGGAUUAGAUACCCGUGUAGUCCCUGUCUCUUAUAC